CUACAAUCUAUAAUAUUACUUUAAUAUAUUACUUUAAAGAUAUUAUGGAAAUGAGUUGGAGAGUGGUGCAUUUUAUGAAAGAAAAUACGGUAGAAGCCGUGUCAGCGACCUGGGUCAAGAAUAAUUAUGCAUGUUUUUGGCCAUCAUACAGUGGAUUAAAAUUAAGGAAUAUAAUACAAAAUUGCAUCCCACCUGCUCAUGAUUGGGAUCUUCAUCAAUGCAGGCUAAUUGGUGAAUUUUAUAGAUCUGAGUGUUGCAAGAAAUAAAGCAGCUCAAGCUGAAGAAACUUCUGAUUUAGCAUCAGACAAUGAAAGAUGUGGAAGAAAAACUAAAAGAAAAAGAUUUACGUCUGAUUCAGAUUCAGAUUCAAGACCAAUUAACACUUUUACCACUUUCUUUCAAAAAAAGAGCAUUAUAAAUUAUAAAGAAAAUAAAGAAAAUGAAGAAAGUGAAGAAAGUGAAGAAA
Molecule: long non-coding RNA, 466 nt
Organism: Pseudomyrmex gracilis
Lineage: Eukaryota; Metazoa; Arthropoda; Insecta; Hymenoptera; Formicidae
Exons: 3
Source: RefSeq, a predicted model, not a curated record